RNAcentral lists this ribosomal RNA (1453 nucleotides) under Saccharothrix sp. 98-41-281A. Its description in RNAcentral is "16S ribosomal RNA". It matches the Rfam family "Bacterial small subunit ribosomal RNA". The record is from RNAcentral. Lineage: Bacteria; Bacillati; Actinomycetota; Actinomycetes; Pseudonocardiales; Pseudonocardiaceae.
UUAUUGGAGAGUUUGAUCCUGGCUCAGGACGAACGCUGGCGGCGUGCUAAACACAUGCAAGUCGAGCGGUCCGGCCCUUCGGGGUACACGAGCGGCGAACGGGUGAGUAACACGUGGGUAACCUGCCCUGUACUCCGGGAUAAGCCUGGGAAACUGGGUCUAAUACCGCGUACGACCUUCCAUCGCAUGGGGUGGGGUGGAAAGUUCCGGCGGUAUGGGAUGGACCCGCGGCCUAUCAGCUUGUUGGUGGGGUGAUGGCCUACCAAGGCGACGACGGGUAGCCGGCCUGAGAGGGUGACCGGCCACACUGGGGGUGAGACACGGCCCAGACUCCUACGGGAGGCAGCAGUGGGGAAUAUUGCACAAUGGGAAAGCCUAAUGCAGCGACGCCGCGUGAGGGAUGACGGCCUUCGGGUUGUAAACCUCUUUCAGCAGGGACGAAGCGUGAGUGACGGUACCUGCAGAAGAAGCACCGGCUAACUACGUGCCAGCAGCCGCGGUUUAUACGUAGGGUGCGAGCGUUGUCCGGAAUUAUUGGGCGUAAAGAGCUCGUAGGCGGUUUGUUGCGUCGGCCGUGAAAACUUCACGCUUAACGUGGAGCCUGCGGUCGAUACGGGCAGACUUGAGUUCGGCAGGGGAGACUGGAAUUCCUGGUGUAUGCGGUGAAAUGCGCAGAUAUCAGGAGGAACACCGGUGGCGAAGGCGGGUCUCUGGGCCGAUACUGACGCUGAGGAGCGAAAGCGUGGGGAGCGAACAGGAUUAGAUACCCUGGUAGUCCACGCCGUAAACGGUGGGUGCUAGGUGUGGGGGGCUUCCACGUCCUCCGUGCCGCAGCUAACGCAUUAAGCACCCCGCCUGGGGAGUACGGCCGCAAGGCUAAAACUCAAAGGAAUUGACGGGGGCCCGCACAAGCGGCGGAGCAUGUGGAUUAAUUCGAUGCAACGCGAAGAACCUUACCUGGGCUUGACAUGCACCGGAAACCUCCAGAGAUGGCCCUCGGACUGGUGUACAGGUGAAGCAUGGCUGUCGUCAGCUCGUGUCGUGAGAUGUUGGGUUAAGUCCCGCAACGAGCGCAACCCUCGUUCCAUGUUGCCAGCGCGUAAUGGCGGGGACUCAUGGGAGACUGCCGGGGUCAACUCGGAGGAAGGUGGGGAUGACGUCAAGUCAUCAUGCCCCUUAUGUCCAGGGCUUCACACAUGCUACAAUGGCCGGUACAGAGGGCUGCUAAGCCGUGAGGUGGAGCGAAUCCCAGAAAGCCGGUCUCAGUUCGGAUCGGGGUCUGCAACUCGACCCCGUGAAGUCGGAGUCGCUAGUAAUCGCAGAUCAGCAACGCUGCGGUGAAUACGUUCCCGGGCCUUGUACACACCGCCCGUCAUGUCACGAAAGUCGGUAACACCCGAAGCCCGUGGCCCAACCCGUAAGGGCGGGAGCGGUCGAAGGUGGGACUGGCGAU